AGCGCAGCCCUACCAUGCAAGUUCGAGCGGUAGAAGAGGUGCUUGCACCUCUUGAGAGCGGCGGACGGGUGAGUAAUGCCUAGGAAUCUGCCUGGUAGUGGGGGAUAACGCUCGGAAACGGACGCUAAUACCGCAUACGUCCUACGGGAGAAAGCAGGGGACCUUCGGGCCUUGCGCUAUCAGAUGAGCCUAGGUCGGAUUAGCUAGUUGGUGAGGUAAUGGCUCACCAAGGCGACGAUCCGUAACUGGUCUGAGAGGAUGAUCAGUCACACUGGAACUGAGACACGGUCCAGACUCCUACGGGAGGCAGCAGUGGGGAAUAUUGGACAAUGGGCGAAAGCCUGAUCCAGCCAUGCCGCGUGUGUGAAGAAGGUCUUCGGAUUGUAAAGCACUUUAAGCUGGGAGGAAGGGCAGUUACCUAAUACGUAAUUGUCUUGACGUUACCGACAGAAUAAGCACCGGCUAACUCUGUGCCAGCAGCCGCGGUAAUACAGAGGGUGCAAGCGUUAAUCGGAAUUACUGGGCGUAAAGCGCGCGUAGGUGGUUCGUUAAGUUGGAUGUGAAAUCCCCGGGCUCAACCUGGGAACUGCAUUCAAAACUGACGAGCUAGAGUAUGGUAGAGGGUGGUGGAAUUUCCUGUGUAGCGGUGAAAUGCGUAGAUAUAGGAAGGAACACCAGUGGCGAAGGCGACCACCUGGACUGAUACUGACACUGAGGUGCGAAAGCGUGGGGAGCAAACAGGAUUAGAUACCCUGGUAGUCCACGCCGUAAACGAUGUCAACUAGUCGUUGGGAGCCUUGAGCUCUUAGUGGCGCAGCUAACGCAUUAAGUUGGACCGCCUGGGGGAGUACA
RNAcentral lists this ribosomal RNA (852 nucleotides) under uncultured bacterium. RNAcentral describes it as "bacterial SSU rRNA". It matches the Rfam family "Bacterial small subunit ribosomal RNA", at positions 38 to 884 of the family's 1533-position model. The record is from RNAcentral.